GAGGAAGUAAAAGUCGUAACAAGGUUUCCGUAGGUGAACCUGCGGAAGGUCAUUAUCGUACUACAGAGGUGCGAGGGCUGUCGCUGACCUUUUUCAAAGGUCGUGCACGCCCGAGCGCUCUCGCCUACAAUCCACCUCACCACUUGUGCAUCACCGCGCGGGGCCUCCCUCUUGGCUCGCUUCGAGAGAGGCUCGCGUUCUUCACAUCACACACACACACCUUUUUAGUUUUGAAUGUCAUUCAUUUGCGAUAACACGCAAUCAAUACAACUUUCAACAACGGAUCUCUUGGCUCUCGCAUCGAUGAAGAACGCAGCGAAAUGCGAUACGUAAUGUGAAUUGCAGAAUUCAGUGAAUCAUCGAAUCUUUGAACGCACCUUGCGCCCCUUGGCAUUCCGAGGGGCACACCCGUUUGAGUGUCGUGAAAUUCUCAAACCUUCUUGGUUUCUUGACCAAGAUGGCUUUGGACUUUGGAGGUGUUGUGCUGGCUUUGCAAAAAGUCGGCUCCUCUUAAAUGCAUUAGUGGGGUCCCCUUUGCCAAUCCCCAGGCGUGAUAAGAUGUUUCUACGUCUUGGGAUUUGCUCUGUUCACUGGGAACCUGCUGCCAACCGUCUCGUGAGAGACAUCGUUCGAGCUUGCUCGGCACACGAAUCUUGACCUCAAAUCGGGUGAGACUACCCGCUGAACUUAAGCAUAUCAAUAAGCCGGAGGAAUACUGUGCU
This 722-nucleotide ribosomal RNA is filed under the name Russula nigricans. RNAcentral's name for it is "eukaryotic LSU rRNA". The stretch from base 269 to 422 matches the Rfam family "5.8S ribosomal RNA". Lineage: Eukaryota; Fungi; Basidiomycota; Agaricomycetes; Russulales; Russulaceae. The record is from RNAcentral.